UUGCUCGUUUUGCUGCUCUGUCUUCCCACAAGAGCACCGGACAUCAUGAGUCACAAACAUCGUGCAUCCUUGUUGUCGUCGUAGCAUCGAGUCAAGUUGCAAGGUCGCAUUUCAUUUCGGAUGCCCGAUUUU
Molecule: non-coding RNA, 132 nt
Organism: Caenorhabditis elegans
Lineage: Eukaryota; Metazoa; Nematoda; Chromadorea; Rhabditida; Rhabditidae
Source: Ensembl